GGGGAUACAGCUCAGUUGGUAGAGUGCUUGCCUUGCAUGCACACAAGGCUCUGGGUUCAAUUCCCAGCACCACUA
RNAcentral lists this transfer RNA (75 nucleotides) under Ictidomys tridecemlineatus (thirteen-lined ground squirrel). RNAcentral's name for it is "Spermophilus tridecemlineatus (thirteen-lined ground squirrel) tRNA". It matches the Rfam family "tRNA". Rfam says of the family: Transfer RNA (tRNA) molecules are approximately 80 nucleotides in length. Their secondary structure includes four short double-helical elements and three loops (D, anti-codon, and T loops). The record is from Rfam by way of RNAcentral. Lineage: Eukaryota; Metazoa; Chordata; Mammalia; Rodentia; Sciuridae.